RNAcentral lists this ribosomal RNA (492 nucleotides) under uncultured bacterium. RNAcentral describes it as "partial 16S ribosomal RNA". It matches the Rfam family "Bacterial small subunit ribosomal RNA", at positions 29 to 507 of the family's 1533-position model. The record is from RNAcentral.
AGUGAACGCUGGCGGUAGGCCUAACACAUGCAAGUCGAACGGCAACACAGUAAGAGCUUGUUCUUACGAGAGGCGAGUGGCAGACGGGUGAGGGAUACAUCGGCAUCUACUUUUCCUUGGGGGAACAAGUAGAGAAACUUUCGAUAAUACCAUUAACGCCCUACGAGUGAAAGCAGGGGCACUUCGGCUAUUGCGCGGUUGUAUGGGCCGAUGUCGGAUUUGCGAGUUGUCGGGGUAAAGGCCCACUAAGGCGGCGACCCGUAGCUGGUCUGAGAGGAUGAUCAGCCACACUGCAACGGAGACACGGUGCAAACUCCGACGGGAGGCAGCAGUGAGGAAUAUUGAACAAUGGGCGGAAGCCUGAUCCAGCCAAACCGCGUGGGUGAAGAAGGCCUUCGGGUUGUAAAGCCCUAUUGUUGGGGAAGAAAAGCGUCAUGUUAAUACCCCUGUGUUCUGACGGUACCCAAAGAAUAAGCACCGGCUAACUUCGUG